AUACGUAGGGGGCGAGCGUUAUCCGGAUUCACUGGGUGUAAAGGGAGCGUAGACGGAAAGACAAGCCAGAUGUGAAAAUCCGGGGCUCAACCCCGGACCUGCAUUUGGAACUGUUUAUCUGGAGUACCGGGUGGGCAGGCGGAAUUCCUGGUGUAGCGGUGAAAUGCGUAGAUAUCAGGAGGAACACCGGUGGCGAAGGCGGCCUGCUGAACGGAUAUGGACGUGGAGGGUCAAAGGCAUGGGAGACAACCAGAAUAAAAUACCCGGGUGUCCUACGCCGUAAACGAUGAAUAUUAGGUGGCAGGCCACAGAGGGGUGUGGUGCCGAAGCGAACGCAUUAAGUAUUCCGCCUGGGGAGUACGUUCGCAAGAAUGAAACUCAAAUGAAUUGACGGGG
RNAcentral lists this ribosomal RNA (396 nucleotides) under uncultured bacterium. Its description in RNAcentral is "partial 16S ribosomal RNA". It matches the Rfam family "Bacterial small subunit ribosomal RNA", at positions 523 to 918 of the family's 1533-position model. The record is from RNAcentral.